AACUAUGAGUAUAAUAAAGGCAUAAACAUAAAAAGAAAAUGUUAAAAGAAAUAGAAUACUAAAGGAAAAUAAAAUGCUAAAAGAAAAAUAAAAUACAAGGCAUAAACAUAAAAAGAAAAUGUUAAAAGAAAUAGAAUACUAAAGGAAAAUAAAAUGCUAAAAGAAAAAUAAAAUACUAAACAAAAAAGUGCUACACAUGAGUAUUGAACCCACUCCACUCAAGAAUAUGGAAACCACCCCUCUCCACCAGACCACUCAUGGUUAUUUAUUAUUUUGAUGCUACUUUAAAUAUAUAAACCAAAAUAGAUUAAACAUUAGAAUAAAGAAAAGAGUCUAUUGGACUAUCCUAAUAAAUGAUGGGGAACCAAAAAUUAAAACCCAG
This 382-nucleotide long non-coding RNA is filed under the name Lathyrus oleraceus (garden pea). Its description in RNAcentral is "Pisum sativum (pea) long non-coding RNA (PSAT_LNC019384)". Lineage: Eukaryota; Viridiplantae; Streptophyta; Magnoliopsida; Fabales; Fabaceae. The record is from RNAcentral.